ACGCUCGACACCUACGGGAGUCAGCAGUGGGGAAUAUUGCACAAUGGAGGAAACUCUGAUGCAGCGAUGCCGCGUGAGGGAAGAAGGUUUUCGGAUUGUAAACCUCUGUCUUUGGGGACGAUAAUGACGGUACCCAAGGAGGAAGCUCCGGCUAACUACGUGCCGNAGCCGCCGGUAAGUACUGAGGCGGGCGUGGCGAAGGACG
This 205-nucleotide ribosomal RNA is filed under the name uncultured bacterium. Its description in RNAcentral is "partial 16S ribosomal RNA". It matches the Rfam family "Bacterial small subunit ribosomal RNA", at positions 328 to 544 of the family's 1533-position model. The record is from RNAcentral.